CUACGGGGGGCAGCAGUGGGGAAUAUUGCACAAUGGAGGAAACUCUGAUGCAGCAACGCCGCGUGGAGGAUGACACUUUUCGGAGCGUAAACUCCUUUUAUAUAGGAAGAAGAUGACGGUACUAUAUGAAUAAGCGCCGGCUAACUCCGUGCCAGCAGCCGCGGUAAUACGGAGGGCGCAAGCGUUACUCGGAAUCACUGGGCGUAAAGAGCGUGUAGGCGGAUUAAAAAGUCAGAAGUGAAAUCCUAUAGCUUAACUAUAGAACUGCUUCUGAAACUCUUAAUCUAGAAUAUGGGAGAGGUAGAUGGAAUUUCUGGUGUAGGGGUAAAAUCCGUAGAGAUCAGAAGGAAUACCGACUGCGAAGGCGAUCUACUAGAACAUUAUUGACGCUGAGACGCGAAAGCGUGGGGAGCAAACAGGAUUAGAUACCCGAGUAGUC
This 439-nucleotide ribosomal RNA is filed under the name uncultured bacterium. Its description in RNAcentral is "partial 16S ribosomal RNA". It matches the Rfam family "Bacterial small subunit ribosomal RNA", at positions 339 to 795 of the family's 1533-position model. The record is from RNAcentral.